RNAcentral lists this non-coding RNA (27 nucleotides) under Mus musculus (house mouse). Lineage: Eukaryota; Metazoa; Chordata; Mammalia; Rodentia; Muridae. The record is from RNAcentral.
UUCUACCGGAAGCUGACGGGACUGCCU